AUUGAACGCUGGCGGCAUGCCUUACACAUGCAAGUCGAACGGUAACAGGUCUUCGGAUGCUGACGAGUGGCGAACGGGUGAGUAAUACGUCGGAACGUGUCAGCUCGUUGUGGAAAACGAGGCGAUAGCUUUGCUAAUACCUCAUACGAUCUACGAAUGAAAGCGGCGGAUUUUCGGACUUCGCGCGGACGUUGCUGCCGAUGGCGGAUUAGGUAGUGUGUGGGAUAAAAGCUUACCAAGCCGACGAUCUGUAGCUGGUCUGAGAGGAUGAUCCGCCACACUGGAACUGAGACACGGCCCAGACUCCUACGGGAGGCAGCAGUAGGGAAUUUUGGACAAUGGGCGAAAGCCUGACGCAGCCAUGCCGCGUGCGGGAUGAAGGCCUUCGGGUUGUAAACUGCUUUUAUACGGAAAGAAAAACGUUUUAAUAAAAAAGAGGGGUCAUGACGGUACCGUACGAAUAAGCACCGGCUAACUACGUG
RNAcentral lists this ribosomal RNA (482 nucleotides) under uncultured bacterium. Its description in RNAcentral is "partial 16S ribosomal RNA". It matches the Rfam family "Bacterial small subunit ribosomal RNA", at positions 30 to 507 of the family's 1533-position model. The record is from RNAcentral.